This 394-nucleotide ribosomal RNA is filed under the name uncultured bacterium. RNAcentral's name for it is "partial 16S ribosomal RNA". It matches the Rfam family "Bacterial small subunit ribosomal RNA", at positions 523 to 918 of the family's 1533-position model. The record is from RNAcentral.
AUACGUAGGGAGCGAGCGUUGUCCGGAAUUACUGGGCGUAAAGGGCGCGUAGGCGGCGCUUCAAGUCGUCUGUCAAAUGGGAGGGCUUAACCCUUUUUCGCAGACGAAACUGGAGAGCUUGAGAAGCAGAGAGGCAAACAGAAUUCCUGGUGUAGCGGUGAAAUGCGUAGAUAUCAGGAAGAAUACCAGUGGCGAAGGCGGUUUGCUGGCUGCAUACUGACGCUAAAGCGCGAAAGCCAGGGGAGCAAACGGGAUUAGAUACCCCGGUAGUCCUGGCAGUAAACGAUGUAUGCUGGGUGUGAGACUAGCGAUAGUUUCGUGCCGAAGUUAACGCGAUAAGCAUACCGCCUGGGGAGUACGGUCGCAAGAUUGAAACUCAAAGGAAUUGACGGGG